UACCAGCACCCCGAGUGGUCGGGACGAUUAUUGGGCCUAAAGCAUCCGUAGCCGGUUCUACAAGUCUUCCGUUAAAUCCACCUGCUUAACAGAUGGGCUGCGGAGGAUACUAUAGAGCUAGGAGGCGGGAGAGGCAAGCGGUCCUUAGUGGGUAGGGGUAAAAUCCGUUGAUCCAUUGAAGACCACCAGUGGCGAAGGCGGCUUGCCAGAACGCACUCGACGGUGAGGGAUGAAAGCUGGGGGAGCAAACCGG
RNAcentral lists this ribosomal RNA (253 nucleotides) under uncultured bacterium. RNAcentral's name for it is "partial 16S ribosomal RNA". It matches the Rfam family "Archaeal small subunit ribosomal RNA", at positions 474 to 727 of the family's 1478-position model. The record is from RNAcentral.